Molecule: ribosomal RNA, 441 nt
Filed under: uncultured bacterium
Lineage: Bacteria
Description: bacterial SSU rRNA
Rfam family: Bacterial small subunit ribosomal RNA
Source: RNAcentral
UCCUACGGGAGGCAGCAGUAGGGAAUAUUGCUUAAUGGGCGCAAGCCUGAAGCAGCAACGCCGCGUGUGCGAUGAAGGCCUUCGGGUUGUAAAGCACUUUUGGCAGGGACGAGGAAGGACGGUACCUGCAGAAUAAGCCUCGGCUAACUACGUGCCAGCAGCCGCGGUAAAACGUAGGAGGCGAGCGUUAUCCGGAUUUACUGGGUGUAAAGCGCGUGCAGGCGGUUUGUUAAGUUGGAUGUGAAAGCUCCUGGCUCAACUGGGAGAGGUCGUUCAAGACUGGCAGACUGGAGAGCAGUAGGGGAAGGUGGAAUUCCGGGUGUAGUGGUGAAAUGCGUAGAUAUCCGGAGGAACACCAGUGGCGAAAGCGGCCUUCUGGACUGCAUCUGACGCUCAGACGCGAAAGCUAGGGGAGCAAACGGGAUUAGAUACCCCGGUAGC